GACGAACGCUGGCGGCGUGCUUAACACAUGCAAGUCGAACGGAAAGGCCCUGCUUGCAGGGUACUCGAGUGGCGAACGGGUGAGUAACACGUGGGUGAUCUGCCCUGCACUUCGGGAUAAGCCUGGGAAACUGGGUCUAAUACCGGAUAGGAGCCAUUUUUAGUGUGAUGGUUGGAAAGUUUUUUCGGUGUAGGAUGAGCUCGCGGCCUAUCAGCUUGUUGGUGGUGUAAUGGCCUACCAAGGCGGCGACGGGUAGCCGGCCUGAGAGGGUGGACGGCCACAUUGGGACUGAGAUACGGCCCAGACUCCUACGGGAGGCAGCAGGGGGGAAUAUUGCACAAUGGGCGCAAGCCUGAUGCAGCGACGCCGCGUGGGGGAUGACGGCCUUCGGGUUGUAAACUCCUUUCGCUAGGGACGAAGCUUUUUGUGACGGUACCUAGAUAAGAAGCACCGGCUAACUACGUG
This 465-nucleotide ribosomal RNA is filed under the name uncultured bacterium. RNAcentral describes it as "partial 16S ribosomal RNA". It matches the Rfam family "Bacterial small subunit ribosomal RNA", at positions 28 to 507 of the family's 1533-position model. The record is from RNAcentral.